GACGAACGCUGGCGGCGUGCUUAACACAUGCAAGUCGAGCGGUAAGGCCCUUUUGGGGGUACACGAGCGGCGAACGGGUGAGUAACACGUGGGUGACCUGCCCUCAGCUCUGGGAUAAGCCUGGGAAACUGGGUCUAAUACUGGAUAUGACCUUUCCUCGCAUGGGGUUGGGUGGAAAGUUUCUCGGCUGGGGAUGGGCCCGCGGCCUAUCAGCUUGUUGGUGGGGUGAUGGCCUACCAAGGCGACGACGGGUAGCCGGCCUGAGAGGGCGACCGGCCACACUGGGACUGAGACACGGCCCAGACUCCUACGGGAGGCAGCAGUGGGGAAUAUUGCGCAAUGGGCGGAAGCCUGACGCAGCGGCGCCGCGU
Molecule: ribosomal RNA, 371 nt
Filed under: uncultured bacterium
Lineage: Bacteria
Description: bacterial SSU rRNA
Rfam family: Bacterial small subunit ribosomal RNA
Source: RNAcentral